GGUGUUCACUCUGGCAGCAUACUAUUUAGUAAAACUGAUACAGAGAUUAGCAUGGCCCCUAUGCAAGAAUGACAUGCAAAUUCAUGAAGCAUUCCAUUUUUUA
Molecule: small nuclear RNA, 103 nt
Organism: Hippopotamus amphibius kiboko
Lineage: Eukaryota; Metazoa; Chordata; Mammalia; Artiodactyla; Hippopotamidae
Source: RefSeq, a predicted model, not a curated record